RNAcentral lists this transfer RNA (66 nucleotides) under Nesophrosyne ponapona. RNAcentral's name for it is "tRNA-Glu". The record is from RNAcentral. Lineage: Eukaryota; Metazoa; Arthropoda; Insecta; Hemiptera; Cicadellidae.
UUUUAUAUAGUUUUAUUAAAACAUUUUAUUUUCAUUAAAAAAAUGACUUCAAAAAGUCUAUAAAAU